AUACGGAGGAUCCGAGCGUUAUCCGGAUUUAUUGGGUUUAAAGGGUGCGCAGGCGGCCAUUUAAGUCAGCGGUUAAAUCGUGGGGCUCAACCCCAUUCUGCCGUUGAUACUGGGUGGCUUGAUUGCGGUCGAGGUUGGCGGAAUUCGUUGUGUAGCGGUGAAAUGCAUAGAUAUGACGAAGAACACCGAUUGCGUAGGCAGCUGACCAGACCGCAAAUGACGCUCAUGCACGAAAGUGCGGGGAUCGAACAGGAUUAGAUACCCUGGUAGUCCGCACAGUAAACGAUGAAUACUUGUUUUCGGCGAUAUAAUGUCGGAGGCAAAGCGAAAGCGAUAAGUAUUCCACCUGGGGAGUGCGCCGGCAACGGUGAAACUUAAAGGAAUUGACGGGG
This 392-nucleotide ribosomal RNA is filed under the name uncultured bacterium. RNAcentral describes it as "partial 16S ribosomal RNA". It matches the Rfam family "Bacterial small subunit ribosomal RNA", at positions 523 to 918 of the family's 1533-position model. The record is from RNAcentral.